UACGUAGGUGGCGAGCGUUGUCCGGAUUUACUGGGCGUAAAGGGAGCGUAGGCGGACUUUUAAGUGAGAUGUGAAAUACUCGGGCUCAACUUGAGUGCUGCAUUUCAAACUGGAAGUCUAGAGUGCAGGGGAGGGGAAUGGAAUUCCUAGUGUAGCGGUGAAAUGCGUAGAGAUUAGGAAGAACACCAGUGGCGAAGGCGAUUCUCUGGACUGUAACUGACGCUGAGGCUCGAAAGCGUGGGGAGCAAACAGG
This 253-nucleotide ribosomal RNA is filed under the name uncultured bacterium. RNAcentral describes it as "partial 16S ribosomal RNA". It matches the Rfam family "Bacterial small subunit ribosomal RNA", at positions 524 to 776 of the family's 1533-position model. The record is from RNAcentral.